RNAcentral lists this small RNA (487 nucleotides) under Pongo abelii (Sumatran orangutan). RNAcentral describes it as "processed transcript". The record is from RNAcentral. Lineage: Eukaryota; Metazoa; Chordata; Mammalia; Primates; Hominidae.
GGGACUGAGAAUGUCUCCUUUCUGCUCUCUGGUCCCUGGGUACCCCAAAUCCUGCCAACUCCCAACCCUAUGAGCAGAGAAGGGCUUUGCAGGGGGCACCUCCCUUACACUGAACAGACACUCCUGCCCACCCACCGGCCCUGCCCUACCGGAGGGAGCAAUGCACUGGCUUCAGCUUCUUAGCCUGGGAAAUAUGAUGUUCCACAGGAGCCCGUGCCCACGCUGUGGAACGAGCCGGCCGAGCUGCCGUCGGGAGAAGGCCCCGUGGAGAGCACCAGCCCCGGCCGGGAGCCCGUGGACACCGGUCCCCCAGCCCCCACCGUCGCGCCGGGACCCGAGGACAGCACCGCGCAGGAGCGGCUGGACCAGGGCGGCGGGUCGCUGGGGCCUGGCGCCAUCGCGGCCAUCGUGAUCGCCGCCCUGCUGGCCACCUGCGUGGUGCUGGCGCUCGUGGUCGUCGCGCUGAGAAAGUUUUCCGCCUCCUGAA